Molecule: ribosomal RNA, 485 nt
Filed under: uncultured Streptococcus sp.
Lineage: Bacteria; Bacillati; Bacillota; Bacilli; Lactobacillales; Streptococcaceae
Description: bacterial SSU rRNA
Rfam family: Bacterial small subunit ribosomal RNA
Source: RNAcentral
AAACUUAAAGGAAUUGACGGGGACCCGCACAAGCGGUGGAGCAUGUGGUUUAAUUCGACGCAACGCGAAGAACCUUACCAGGUCUUGACAUCCCGAUGCUAUUUCUAGAGAUAGAAAGUUACUUCGGUACAUCGGUGACAGGUGGUGCAUGGUUGUCGUCAGCUCGUGUCGUGAGAUGUUGGGUUAAGUCCCGCAACGAGCGCAACCCCUAUUGUUAGUUGCCAUCAUUCAGUUGGGCACUCUAGCGAGACUGCCGGUAAUAAACCGGAGGAAGGUGGGGAUGACGUCAAAUCAUCAUGCCCCUUAUGACCUGGGCUACACACGUGCUACAAUGGUUGGUACAACGAGUUGCGAGUCGGUGACGGCGAGCUAAUCUCUUAAAGCCAAUCUCAGUUCGGAUUGUAGGCUGCAACCCGCCUACAUGAAGUCGGAAUCGCUAGUAAUCGCGGAUCAGCACGCCGCGGUCGAAUACGUUCCCGGGCCUU